Molecule: ribosomal RNA, 253 nt
Filed under: uncultured bacterium
Lineage: Bacteria
Description: partial 16S ribosomal RNA
Rfam family: Bacterial small subunit ribosomal RNA
Source: RNAcentral
UACAGGGGGUGCGAGCGUUAUUCGGAAUUACUGGGCGUAAAGAGCGCGUAGGUGGUUUAGCAAGUCUGGUGUGAAAUCCCUGGUCUCAAGCCAGGAAGUGCAUUGGAUACUGCUAGGCUAGAGUAUAGGAGAGGAUGGCGGAAUUCCUGGUGUAGAGGUGAAAUUCGUAGAUAUCAGGAGGAACCACAGUGGCGAAGGCGGCCAUCUGGACUAUUACUGACACUGAGGCGCGAAAGCGUGGGGAGCAAACAGG